GAUGAACGCUGGCGGCGUGCUGAACACAUGCAAAGCGAACGGAAAGGCUCUUUGUAGUAGGGGUAAUCGAGUGGCGAACGUGUGAGGAACACGGGGGGGAUCGGCCCAGCACCUGGGAAUAAGCCGGGGAAACUGGGACUAAUACUGGAUAGGACGAUGGUUCGGGUGCUAUCGUGGAAAGCUUUUUCGGUGUGGGAUGAGCUCGCGCACUAUCAGCUUGUUGGUGGGGUAAUGGCCUAGCAAGCAGUCGACGGGUAGCCGGACUGAGAGGGUGUACGGCCACAUUGGGACUGAGAUACGGCCUAGGCUGCUACGGGCGCCAGCAGUGGGGGAUUUUGAGCACUGGGCGGAAGCCUGAUGCAGCGACGCCGCGUGGGGGAUGACGGCCUCACGGUUGUAGCCUUCUUUCGCUAGGCACGCAGCGCCCGUCACGGCCCCUGCAGAACCACGUCCGGCUCAAUACCUG
Molecule: ribosomal RNA, 466 nt
Filed under: uncultured bacterium
Lineage: Bacteria
Description: partial 16S ribosomal RNA
Rfam family: Bacterial small subunit ribosomal RNA
Source: RNAcentral